GCCGCAUUGUGGCAGGACCCCACAGUCUGUUUCUGUGCUGGGAGGAGGAGGGGAACAGCAGCAGCAGCAGAAGCAGAAGCAGCAGCAGCAGCAGCAGCAGCAGCAGCAGCAGCAGCAGUAGUAGUAGUAGUAGUAGUAGUAUAGUAGUAGUAGUAGUAGUAGUAGUAGUAGUAGUAGUAGUAGUAGUAGUAGUAGUAGUAGCAGCAGCAGCAGCAUUGAGCAGUGGUGGUGGUGGUGGUGUCAGUGGUGCAGCUGUCCACUCCUCCACAGCUGCUGCCUUGCCUCAACAUGCUGUGUCUUCCCUCACCUGCAAUGAACAGCACUGAACAACACCUCUCCUAUGAUGAAUAACACUGAGUAUCACCUCUUCCCUGCAUCAACAACACUGAACAACACCUCUCCUGUGAUGAACAACAUUGAGUAACAUCUCACCCCUGCAUCAACAACACUCAACACCUGCUUCACUUCACACUCAUUCAUGCUAGCCUUACCCCCCUCCCCCUCUCUCUCUCUCUCUCUCUCUCUCUCUCUCUCUCUCUCUCUCUCUCUCUCUCUUUUCUCUCUCUCUUUUCUCUUCUCUUCUCUUCUCAGCCCACAGCUCCACAGUAUGUUCUCCACAGUGACUCCCCACAGCCCCUCACCAAUAAGUGUCACACACACACACACACACACACACACACACACACACACACACACACACACACACACACACACACACACACACACACACACA
This is a long non-coding RNA of Scylla paramamosain (green mud crab), 733 nucleotides long. RefSeq lists it as uncharacterized. The record is from RefSeq and is a predicted model, not a curated record. Lineage: Eukaryota; Metazoa; Arthropoda; Malacostraca; Decapoda; Portunidae. The transcript is spliced from 2 exons.